GAUGAACGCUGGCGGCGUGCUUAACACAUGCAAGUCGAACGAUGAAGCCCAGCUUGCUGGGUGGAUUAGUGGCGAACGGGUGAGUAACACGUGAGUAACCUGCCCUUAACUCUGGGAUAAGCCUGGUAAACUGGGUCUAAUACCGGAUAGGAGCGUCCACCGCAUGGUGGGUGUUGGAAAGAUUUAUCGGUUUUGGAUGGACUCGCGGCCUAUCAGCUUGUUGGUGAGGUAAUGGCUCACCAAGGCGACGACGGGUAGCCGGCCUGAGAGGGUGACCGGCCACACUGGGACUGAGACACGGCCCAGACUCCUACGGGAGGCAGCAGUGGGGAAUAUUGCACAAUGGGCGCAAGCCUGAUGCAGAGACGCCGCGUGAGGGAUGACGGCCUUCGGGUUGUAAACCUCUUUCAGUAGGGAAGAAGCGAAAGUGACGGUACCUGCAGAAGAAGCACCGGCUAACUACGUG
Molecule: ribosomal RNA, 466 nt
Filed under: uncultured bacterium
Lineage: Bacteria
Description: partial 16S ribosomal RNA
Rfam family: Bacterial small subunit ribosomal RNA
Source: RNAcentral